UCUUGAUGUUUUUAGGCAUGUAUCUCUUUCCUAACUUGAUUUUAUAUAAAAGCAUUUGUUUAAUCAUAGAUUAUGUGAAUUUAAUUAUGGGUUUUGAAUGAAGGAUUGAAAGUUUUAUAUGAUUACUACUUGAUUGGUUUUCCAUGAUUUUGGAAUUGCUAUUUAUGCUUUAUCUCAAAAUAUUUGAAUUAAAUUUGUGCAUGGAUAUGGC
Molecule: long non-coding RNA, 211 nt
Filed under: Capsicum annuum
Lineage: Eukaryota; Viridiplantae; Streptophyta; Magnoliopsida; Solanales; Solanaceae
Description: long non-coding RNA (CANN_LNC000828)
Source: RNAcentral